Motacilla alba alba is the source of this 9155-nucleotide long non-coding RNA. RefSeq lists it as uncharacterized. The record is from RefSeq and is a predicted model, not a curated record. The transcript has 3 exons. Lineage: Eukaryota; Metazoa; Chordata; Aves; Passeriformes; Motacillidae.
GUGGUCCGAAACCCAGAAUUUUUCUGUUUGUGCCAAGAGUUUCCCUUUCCAUGCAGGGCACCUUUACCCAAGGUUAGAAAAGCAGCCAACAGCUCCACGUGCAGGUGAUGCACUUUCAGUAACAACACAGACCAUCCACCUCCCAUCCACAGGAGCACCAAGCAAAGGUGUCUGCACAUUUAAUUGAGAUUAUGGUGGGAAUUAAUUAGAGGAUUAACAAUCUCCAAAAAUGAUGUCACAGGACAAUACCCAUAACUGCAGUAGAUCUUACAAAGGACAGUAAGACAAUUAAAAAAUGCUAUUGAAGAACACGUGGAUGAAAAGAAAACUACAUGGGGCACUUCUGGUAUGAGAUAGUCAUAAAGGAUGUUUUUCAGGCCCAAAAAUUCCUUUUCAGUUUGAAAAAGUAUGAGAUAUUUCAAAAUGUGUACAAAAAAUAGAGUGAAAUUAGUCUCAGGCAGACAAAAACAAGAGAAGGAGAAGAGUCAUCAGAUGUGUGAAGAGCCAAUCCCACAGGAACAAUAAAAAAAGAUGGAAAUUUAACAAGUAAAAGUCCUCAUAGUUUGUGCAGGUUGCCUUUUGUAAUUCAGUAGAAGUUAUUAUACUGCAAAAUUCAAGGGGAUAAAAAUUCAUUACAGCUCUUCUCUAUACCCUGCUCCAAGGACUCUUUGUCUAAAAGAACUGUAUUUUAAUCUGUUUGCCAAUGUUUUUCAAUACAAUUCUUUAAUACAACACUGUGUGGAGAAUUCCAGGCUAGAAGGAAUGUUUGGUGCAUUAUUUCCACUGCUUAGUUCUUCACCUCUUACAGCUACGCAGACAUAACAGGGCACAGGAAGAAAGCCCUUUCACAUGGAGUGUUAAUAAACUUUUAAUAAUGAAACAUUUCUCCAGGCAUCAAAUCCUGUCCCUGCUGAGGACACUGGAGUUUUACCAUUAACUUCAGUGCAACUGACACAGUAUCUCAGGCUAUAUAUUUCAUAUAAAUUACAUUGCCAUUAGACUUGAUUCCCAACAGAAAUUACAUUCAUAAAACUCUAAUACUCGUGACCUCCAAAACAAAUCUAAAUACUUUCUUCUUGCAUCCAUGCACACACACAGAUUUUUUUUUCCUCUUUAAGUACUACAGCAAUUAAGACAAAUUAUGGAGAUUAUUUUUUCUUCUUUUAGGCUUCCAUCAGGAGCUCCCCUUAUUUUAAAAGCUGAGCUUUGUUUUUUCUGAGCUUGGCACCCACAAACACAAGCCCUGUUGCAGAAAUGUGCACGGAGACAUGAGUUCAGCAGUCCUGCAGUGGCUCUGGAGAGGUUCAGCCUGGAACCUCCCUUCUUGGAAGAGGCCGAGCACACCCUCAGCUGGCUCAAUACCAAAAAAAAAGCAUUCUUUGUGCACAGAGCUGAAGUGCAUAAUUAAUCAUAUCUCGGUUUUGCCUACAUGCCAGGAAGGCUGGAUUUCCCCUUCCCAAUCUGUCUGCUUGCCUUGCCUGCUCUCCACUCACAGGAGUGUGGGGAAGGUACAGCCCCAGCCAACAUCAGUUGGUUUUUCUGUCAUACAAAGCCCACAAGUUCACCCAAAUUCAACUCAACAGCCAGGACUUGUCUGAGGUAAUGGCCAUCCUCACCCCCUUCUGUCCAAGCCACUGACCAAUGCACCCCAACUGCAACACAGGAAACCUCCUGGGCUCUGUGGAAACCCAGCACAGGUUUUGGGAGCCCAGAGAGCAUGACCGGCCUCUCCUGACUCAGCUUCAAAGCUUAAAGACAUUUUUAAAUGCUUUUAAUUGUGUGGAAUGGUGGAUCUAUCCAACAGAGAAAUCCAGGAACCAUGACCAGGGUCUUCCAGGCUGCGUCCCACCUCUCUGGUGCUGCCUGGUGAAGCCCCAGCCUGUCCAACUCGCAGCAGGCAUCCAGUGCGUUGGGGCUUUGCCCAUUAGGUGGUGGGAAAUCAAAAGGAUAUGUGCAAUGGUUAUUCUUUCAUCUUCAUGGCCCUUAAACUGCUUCUCUAGCUUAUGUCAAUGUGGCCACUUUGCUCUCUCAUGCGGGACACACCUUUUGUGCAAUGUGCCCCUGGGGGCUGCAGUGAUGGGUUAGCCAAUCAUACAGAGAGAAGAGGAAUUUGAUGAAUGGGUCAUUUUUGGUGCACUCUGCACUUUUGACUCAUAAAUUCCACAGAAAACAAGGUAAAUGGAGCAUAACUUAUUAAUGAACAGAGCCCUAAAUAUCAAAUGAUCUGCUCUGAAUCAUCAGCACGAAUUGCAGAGCCUUCACAUCACGUUGGUUAUCACAUGCUGCAGCAGUUCAGUGAUGGACAAACUCUGCAGCCUGGUGUUAAGUCAUACAAGAUAAUCUAGGAAAUAACAUCCUGCUUUCUAUAAAGCACGUUACAGAGAGGUGCUUGCUCGACCUUCAGACUGUGACCUCCAGAGACAGUGAUCCUGCCAGCCUCACCUUGCAUUGCAAGCCUGAAAGCACCAUUAAGCUCAUGAUGAAUUGCGAGCCUUGGGAAAGGCACAUGAACCCUAAAUCUCACCAGAAAGCUGGGGGAAAUUCAGACAGCUCUGAAGAGGAACAUCAAUGAAGUUUUUGUGAGAUAACUUAGGAGCAACAGCUUUCUAUCCUGCAUCACUUCUACACCUUCACUGAUGGGGAAAAAAUGGACAAUCCUUCCAGGUCUGAGGGUCUGCUAAUGUCCAGAUUAAGCCUGAAGAACCACACUGACUAUUCUGAGAGCACCACAGGGCAAGGUAAAAAAUAUGAAGAAUCUUCAAUUUCCUCCUUUCUAAAGGUCAUUUGGUUUUUUUCAGAGCUGAGAAAACAAGAAAAAAAGAAGGAAAGAACAAGGAAAAUUGUGCACCCAAGUAACUCUUCUCAAAUAAUCUCAAUGAGCCCGAGGAGCACUGGCAGAGAUAGGUGUGAGCCCACACAUGCUGGCACACACUGACUGUUCACAGCCACAAUGGAACACCUGGUCUGGGCAUUUUCCUCAUCACUGUUCUGCUUUGAAUUAAUGAGCUUGUUUCUAUGCUGUUUGGUGUCCUUGUCCAUGGCAGGGAGAUUGGAACAAGAUGGUCUUAAAGGUCCCUUCCCAAAUCAUCCCAUGAUUCUUCUUUCACAUUAACAUCUCUAAAUCUUCUGGAGUUAACUUUAGUGCUGUUUUCCAAUUUUCUUUCCUGCCUAAUUUUUCCUUAAGAGUUUUCAAACAUUUCAGUACAAGUCUGCCUCCUGGCACUCAGCUGCAGUUACGUGUGUGCUGUGGAACUAUCUUUAAAGGUUUUUUUUUUUUUUUAUUUGUAUUGACAGAAGCAAUAAUGAUAAAAAGUGUCCACUACUUUUAAAGGCCAUUUCUCCCUGUAUGUGUACAAAUAUGUCAUCUUUAAACUGUCAGACCUCUAAACAGGCUUGAAGUGAUUUUCUCCUGCAAAUGCACCUCUUUUUGCAGGGAUGGCCUAUCUGUGCUUUCCUUUCUUUCCUACACUUUUGCACGUUAUCUUGUUCAAACAAACUGCCAAAAUUUCAGCCAGCAGACAGCAAUUAGUACAUAGAAGCAAAAUGAACCACUACAGCUAGAUGCUGUGCCAUAGGCAAAAAAAUGCAAUAGAAAGCUACUUUAGCUGAAAUUGGUAUUUAAAACACCUUUCUACAAGAAGGCUACAAAGUCACCCUCUUAUUGACUACCCAUAAGGCUGCAGCUGCACCUGCCUGGUAGAGCAAUUUUCUAGAGACUAUUAAGCAAAGCAAAACCAGCUAGAUAGAUUAUUGCAAUCUCAAUGAAAGAGCAGCAAACCGAUAAAAAAAUUACCAUUGAAGUCAACAGAAAUAAGGACUUUCUAUCUACAAAAUAUGAAUUCCUGUCAAAGGGAGAUGAGGAAGCAUCUUCCUAAGCCAGAGCACAGUUACUCAAACCUACAUAUCCCCCUUACUGGUAUAAAGGCAUAUUGUAACUAAUAACAAAAAACCACACAAUAGAAGCCAGCACAAGGAAUUGAGAGAUUAGCGGCAAUUAACUCAGUAUAGAGAUACUUUACUGCCUAACUUAGUGAUUUUUAUACUACACUGAACCUUAGGUAGAUCUCCCUGGAGAUACUGUCACCACUAAAAGAAAAAAGGUCCUGCUCAUUUUGUCACUUUCAAGUGAAUUUCUCACAGGGGCCUGAGAAAACACACAGUGUUUCCUUAGCUAGCUUGGCAGAUGAGCAAGAUUUGCUGCUAAUUCCCAGUAUUGAUGUGCUGAAAGUGUUUUCUGCUGGAAACAUAAAGGAGCAAGGUAAGGCUAAAAUUACUCAUCUACUUGAAUAAUGUGUCCUGUUUACUUUGGUAUUCCCUUCCACAGCUGUCCCUGCCUUUGGCAGCAUCACCCUGACAGAAAGUAAAAUGCUGUUAAUGCAUUAAAUCCAACAGUGAGAUUACAUGAGCUGCCUCUCCAAGACAAAGUGUAUUAACCACUGAUAAAUUCCACUUCUCCUCAAAAUUAGAAUGAAAAAGUCACUAGCCAAUACUUUCAGGAAACAAAUUACAUCCCUAGAGCUAUCCAGUACCUGUGCUCUGUCCACAGAACACAUUGAGAGCCAAAGCCACGAGCAAGAAACUGGAUGUCAACUUACAGAGGGGAAACAAAGACUCAGGGAGACAAAGUACUCCCAACCCCAGACAAAACCCUCUUUACAUAAUAUCUGUUACCCUCAAAUACAUCCCUCCUCUCACGCCUAAGGCGAUAUACACUUGUUCAGGGACAGGGGGUUAGUGGAAGCCAGCAUAUCAAGAAAAAUAAAUAAAUAUCAAAACACACCAAAACACAACUGGUCUUAUUGCAAGUGAUCCAUCUCCUUAAAGAUCUCUUGGAGGUGGUAAAUUAUCAGAGAUGGCACCAGGGACAUUUUGCCAUUUCUCCUCAUGUAUAUUUUGGUGAUUUUGGGAGCACUCAGGUGUGCCAAGAUUCAUAUCCCUGGUCUGCUUCAAGGAUUACCUUCAUUCUUCAUUUGCUAGAUCAUGUCUAAAACACUAAAAUGCAGAUUUCAAUGGCAGCAGCAAAUGCUGCCUGGAUAGAUGUGGGCUGGUGAGAGCACUCCUAACACAGCAAUAUGGCAAAAUUCCUCUCCACUUCCCUUCAAUAUUGUCAAAGGUUUCACCACUCAACAUAACAAACAAACUUCGAAAAACAGUAUUACUUUUCUCCCCACUUUUGUAUAUAGGAUAAUGGCUUUUCAACAAGCCAAAUGGGAAAGUGUGUUAAUGUGUUUCCAUGGGCAAAGCUUGAGAACCCUGUAAAUUGCCUUGCUUAAUGGACUUAGGAGUUCAGCUAUCCAUUCAGAAAUUCCACAGCGAAUCAAAUGGUUCAGUCCUCAGGAAGUGCACACACAGCUCUGCAACUCUUUGUCAUUAUUUAUGUCUCUUGGAUUUGAUGGACAAAAUGUCAUUUGGGAUGAAGGAGGACCUGUAUCCACCACCCCUCUGGCAGAAAGGCACUAAGAGCCCUCUCACCCCAGGGACUGUGCAGAUGCCCUGUCCUUCAGGGCUCCACACCACCUCAAUCAGCACAGAAAAAGCAGUAACCUAAAGCACCUGCAGACUCUCUCAUCUGGCUCUAAACAUACUGUAAUGACCAACAGCUUGACUACUUUUUUAAGCUAUUAUGAAGAAAAUAAACUCAUUUAACUGUUGCCUCUGCCAUGGGCAGUGACUGCUCAGGACAAGGUUGAGGGUGAACAGGUUGUCCCUCACCUUUCCACAUGCCAUGCCAUGAACUCCUGAGCCUGGCAAAGCCACUGCUGAGCCAAGGAGCUCGAUGGGAGCAGAGGUUGUGCUGGUUUGGGGGAUGUGACCCCUGCAGAAGAGCAGUCUGGCAUUAACACCUCUCACCACUCUGUAAGCUGUUUGCCCAGGCUGAGACAGCCCAGACAAGAGCUUGUCCUCAGCCCAGGCUGGCAGAGGGGAAUAGCCCUGGCCACGCUCAUCCCUGCUCCAGGCAGCAUCCCUCACUCCUCUAUGAUGGGGUGAAAAUUUCAGUUUGCUGUGUCUUCUUUGGGGUUCAAAACAAACCAGAAUCCAAAGGUGAUGCUCUUCUCUCUGUUCCAGUUUUUUAAAUCCACUUUUAUUUAUUUAUUAAGCACAAAAUUGCCAUGAAAGCCCAUGGAUAGUCACUGUGGCUGGCACUGGCAGCCAGCUCAGGUUGGGCUCUUCUCAGCUCUGUGCACACCAGAGAUGAGGGUAUGAGCUGGUGGCCAUAGGGGGCUGCUCCCCAGUCCCCUCCACCUUCUGCUUCAUGUGCUGAGACCUGAGGAGAUCUAGACUCCUCAGUGUCUUUGUCCCACUCUGGGAUAGCCAGGCACACACCAGCCCAAGUUCAGCCCAGCCCACGCUGACUGUGACCCUGCAAACAAAUCCAUCCCAGCAGCACAGUCUGCCUGCACCAUGGGACAGGGUCUGCCUCACACCAAACACCCCAACCAGGGGCAGCACCCUGGGAACCCUCAAAGAGUGCAGGAAAAACAAGGAUAUUUUGAUCUGCAUGCAUGAAUUCUCUAGGAAAGGAGUAUAAAUAGAGGAAAGGGAAAAAAAAAAUAAAUCGGUGAGCCAAUGUCCUUUGCAACUUUUGUAAAGUAUAAAAUACAUCAGAGAGAAUAAGUUCCAGGCCUGAUUACUCCUGAUUUACAGAAAUGUGCAACCAUGGGGACACAUAUGUUAUGCUGAUAAUAAAAUAUACAUGGCUGCAGCUGGGACCUACAACAGAACUUAAACAUACUGAGAAUACUCAAAUCUUUUCCCUCCUGUGUACCUUAGCUGUUCAGAGGGAUUUUUUUUUCCACUCAAAAUUGAAAUGAAGGGAAAAAAACUCCACUUCUAGGAUUAGAUCCUAGAAAAACAGAUUCCAGCUGGGAGCUCAAGCACCUGCAGAGAAGUAUUUAUAAAUGAAAGGACUGACAUGACUUUAAAUACAGUGUCGUCAGAAAUUUAAUUAUGCAGCAGCAAGUCUCUAAUUGGAAGUCACAGAGCAGUAUAUUGGCUUUGUCAUGUGAUUUGAUACUCUCCAAACUGCUUUCCCAGGGUUGUUUGUGUUAUCUGUCUCAGGUUUGAACAGCAGUGUUUGUUUGCAGGCUGUGGUGGGAUUAGCCCUAUUUAUCUUCACGGGCUUUGUUUCCUUGAACACGGACUGAAUUCACAUGGAUUUGUUUCAGUGUUCCAGGAAAUCCUUGGCUUUUCUUUACCCAGCCCAGAGGCUGUGUUGUGAUGGCUGAAGCUAUCCUGGGCACCCAAAAAACUCCAUGUUCAAGUCAGCAUGUGUAUUCCACUAGCAAGAGGAGGGAAACAAGACCACCUACCUGUGAUAAAUCAGCUUGCAAGUUCUAACACCUGUGUAGUUUCACACUGAAACAUUAAUUUCCAUAAUUAGAUUUUUACAGAGUAAUUGAUUUUAGUUUGUUAUUAUUCCAAACUGAAAAUAAAUACUUCCAGAGAAAACCUCAAAAGAGCUAAAAGUUCUCAAUGCCCUCCACAUAGUCACAUUUUCAUUUGAGGGAAAAUUGUAGAUACAGUUAUGCAACACCUUUCUCUUCCUUUGGACUGUCUUGGCUCCUGAUCUCAGUCUAAAAAUACAGUUAUUUCAGUUUCUAAAUUUGAUUCUUGCUUUAAACUGAGUGCAUAUGAUUUAAACUUCAUUCAUGUUCCACCAACUUGUGUUUUCUCAAGCUAGGCAUCCUUCUGGUAUCACUGACAAGGAGAUACAAAUAUUCCAGGAGAGGGGGACUUUCACAUUUGGAAAUGGUUCAUUACAUUCCUCAUCACUGCCUCAUACCAUAUGACUCUUCAGGGCCUCCCAAUUCUCACAGAAUCACAGAAUAGUUUGGGUUGGAGGGGAACUUGAAGCUCAUUGAUUCAGGGGAUUUGUAUUUAUUCUCCUCAAUCAUCACAGAAUGGUUUGGGUUGGAAGGGCCCUUUAAGGUCACCCAGUUCCAAUCCCUCUGCCAUGGGCAGGGACACCUUCCACUAGACCAGGUUGCUCAAGCCCCAUCCAACGUAGCCUUGAACAAACACUUCCAGGGAUGGGACACAGCUUCUGUGGGCAACAACUAAUUGAAGGACAGUGAAAAUCACACUAAUCACAGCUAGGGCUUUCUUGCAUCCCAUCCUCUGAUUGCUCAGCCUGAUGCACCUCCCGCCUGGGAAGUCCUCCCACUGUUUUCCUCCCAUUCUCCUGUCCUUCCCCUCCCCUCCUGCUCCCCCCACUGCAGAGCUGCCACCUGACCUCUCCAGCCGGGGUCUAGCUGGGUGAGCUUUGCUCCCACUAUUCCCCUAACACCUGGAGGUUGGUGUCUGCAACACCAAAUUUGAAAUAGGAGAUUGCAGAACCGUAAUUACUUGAGCUGGAAGCUUCCAGCCCAGCUGGUUUGUCCUGUCAUUUAAAAAUCUACUUGUUUCCAAACACACAACCCUCUGGCAGGGGUCCAGGCAGAGCCGAGGAUGCUGAGCUGCUCACAGCAUCACAAGUGAGAUUUUCAGGGCUAAAAAAAGACAACAGUGAAAUUGAUACUACGUUUUAACCUAGGGGUCAUGAAAAGAUGAGACAAUAUAUUCACUCCACUUCAGAUAGCCUGAAGGAAUGUGACCUUUCCUAUCAUUUAUAACCCAGACGGCACAAAUGAGCACCAAAUCCAAUUACGGUGUAUUUUUAUUUACCUAAUCUGCCAGCAGAUGGCCUUUAAUUCUAAAUUUUCUUAAUUUUGAAAAUCUGUUCAGGCAGAACUGGCAGCACAACUCACGUUCCUCUCUCCACAGGGAAGGGUUUAAUGACAGCCCCAUGCAAGCUGCCACUUGGUUAUUGCCUUCCUGGGCCUCUGCUCAUCAGACCCUUUCCUUGUAAUUAGAUACAUAUAUUUUCUUUUUCUUCCUAUUGGAUUAUGAGGCAUUUAAGGCAGGUGUCAUCUCUCUGAGCUAUGAUUGUACAGUAUCUAGCAAAAGCAGAGGCUAACCCUUAGCUGGAGCUCCUAAUCACCACAGUAAUGAAAAUAUUUCCUUUUCAAAUGUAAAUUGAAGACUCAGUUCUCCGGUACCUGGAAUAACCAAAGGAUAAAUAUCUUAAGUAUAGCAAAAAUUGAGUUUAAAAGGCAGGUAAUUUAAGCUGAACACAUUAUGCAUUUAUAUUUUAUGUAUAAAAUUAAAUCAUUGAA